Molecule: ribosomal RNA, 496 nt
Filed under: uncultured bacterium
Lineage: Bacteria
Description: partial 16S ribosomal RNA
Rfam family: Bacterial small subunit ribosomal RNA
Source: RNAcentral
GAUGAACGCUGGCGGCGUGCCUAAUACAUGCAAGUCGAGCGAACAGAUAAGGAGCUUGCUCCUUUGACGUUAGCGGCGGACGGGUGAGUAACACGUGGAUAACCUACCUAUAAGACUGGGAUAACUUCGGGAAACCGGAGCUAAUACCGGAUAACAUAUUGAACCGCAUGGUUCAAUAGUGAAAGGCGGCUUUGCUGUCACUUAUAGAUGGAUCCGCGCCGUAUUAGCUAGUUGGUAAGGUAACGGCUUACCAAGGCAACGAUACGUAGCCGACCUGAGAGGGUGGGAGGCAAGCGGGGAGAAGGGACCAGGUCCAGACAACAACGGGGGGCAGCAGUAGGGGAUCUGCGGCAAUGGGCGAAUGACUGAAAGAGCAACGCAGCGUGAAGGAAGAAGGGCUUCGGAUCGUAAAACUCUGUUACCAGGGAAGAACAAAUGUGCAAGUAAAUGUGCACAUCUGGACGGUACCUGAUCAGAAAGCAACGGCUAACUACGU